RNAcentral lists this ribosomal RNA (426 nucleotides) under uncultured Actinomycetes bacterium. RNAcentral's name for it is "bacterial SSU rRNA". It matches the Rfam family "Bacterial small subunit ribosomal RNA", at positions 233 to 671 of the family's 1533-position model. Lineage: Bacteria; Bacillati; Actinomycetota; Actinomycetes. The record is from RNAcentral.
GCGGCCUAUCAGCUUGUUGGUGAGGUAAUGGCUCACCAAGGCUACGACGGGUAUCCGGCCUGAGAGGGCGACCGGACACACUGGGACUGAGACACGGCCCAGACUCCUACGGGAGGCAGCAGUGGGGAAUAUUGGGCAAUGGACGCAAGUCUGACCCAGCGACGCCGCGUGAGGGAUGAAGGCCUUCGGGUUGUAAACCUCUUUCAGUAGGGAAGAAGCGAAAGUGACGGUACCUACAAAAGAAGCACCGGCUAACUAUGUGCCAGCAGCCGCGGUAAUACAUAGGGUGCAAGCGUUGUCCGGAUUUAUUGGGCGUAAAGAACUCGUAGGUGGUUUGUUACGUCGGAUGUGAAACUCUGGGGCUCAACCCCAGACCUGCAUCCGAUACGGGCAGACUAGAGUGUGGUAGGGGAGACUGGAAUUCCU